Molecule: ribosomal RNA, 640 nt
Filed under: bacterium enrichment culture clone Lv2a
Lineage: Bacteria
Description: bacterial SSU rRNA
Rfam family: Bacterial small subunit ribosomal RNA
Source: RNAcentral
UUGUUCUCGCCAGCCCAUCGGUGGAAGGGUGAUUAAUGUCUGGGAAACUGCCUGAUGGAGGGGGAUAACUACUGGAAACGGUAGCUAAUACCGCAUAACGUCGCAAGACCAAAGUGGGGGACCUUCGGGCCUCAUGCCAUCAGAUGUGCCCAGAUGGGAUUAGCUGGUAGGUGGGGUAACGGCUCACCUAGGCGACGAUCCCUAGCUGGUCUGAGAGGAUGACCAGCCACACUGGAACUGAGACACGGUCCAGACUCCUACGGGAGGCAGCAGUGGGGAAUAUUGCACAAUGGGCGCAAGCCUGAUGCAGCCAUGCCGCGUGUGUGAAGAAGGCCUUCGGGUUGUAAAGCACUUUCAGCGGGGAGGAAGGCGAUAAGGUUAAUAACCUUGUCGAUUGACGUUACCCGCAGAAGAAGCACCGGCUAACUCCGUGCCAGCAGCCGCGGUAAUACGGAGGGUGCAAGCGUUAAUCGGAAUUACUGGGCGUAAAGCGCACGCAGGCGGUCUGUCAAGUCGGAUGUGAAAUCCCCGGGCUCAACCUGGGAACUGCAUUCGAAACUGGCAGGCUAGAGUCUUGUAGAGGGGGGUAGAAUUCCAGGUGUACCGGUGAAAUGCGUGGAGCUCGGGAGGAAACCGGUGG